GAGUGGGGAGCUAGGAGCUGCUCCUGAGUGAGCCUGAGGCCGGUUGCUGUGGGUCUCCUGCGAACCUAGAGGCCUCCGUGCAGGAACGCAGGUACCUGGAUGCGUGGUGGCGAAAAGAACUCACGAGGAGGCCGAGACCAGGCUGUGUGCUGACGGUGUUGACGAACUCAGGCUUGGUCAGUGCCUGGCUUCAGCGAUGUCAACGUGUACUCAGAGGAGAAAUUGCUGAGCUGCAGUUCUUUGUUUCCAGCACAUUGAAACAGUCUCUGACACCACCCUGGAGAGAGCAGAAGCCACGCUGUAGUGACCGGCCCUCUCGGACCACAGGGGUGGACAUAGCGGUGGCUGUGGCAGCCUCAGGUGGCCACCUCCCCCCAUUCACCCCACGUGCGCCCCAUGGCCUCUCUCUGGCACUAUUAACAGCACUGACCCCACGAGUGGGGAGGGUCCCUGCGAGUACAAAAGCCCCUCCCCACCGUUCAGCAUGGACAGCCAGUCCAGUACAGCCCCAUUGUUUUUCUCUUGCCGCUGCCAUGUAAGAAGAGCCUUUCACCUCCUGCCAUGAUUAUGAGAAUUCCCCGGCCAUGUGGAACUGUUAAGUCCAAUUUAACAUCUUUUUCUUCCUAGUCCCAGGGUAACUCAAUGCUCUUUAUCAAGAGCAAUCUGUGAAUUUUGAAGAAAGAACAGACAUCAGAAAAAGGAAAUCUCCAUCUAAAGAUAAAUUCACCUAGAAAUUGCCUAGAACAUGAUGAAAACUCAUGCUUUGCUCGCUGGCUAUAAGCAUUUCUCUUGGGGUUGUUCUCAUUCAUGGCUGGAUCACACCAGCAAGAAGGGCUUUAAAGGACAACUCCUUCGGGCCGUCCUACACUGAAACCGCCUGAGCGCUGCUGUCUUUGUGCUUGCAGAAAAUCACGGUACUGAACAUGCCAACCUCAUGGGUUAGUUGAGAGAAGUGUGUGGGUAUUCCCGGUCAAACACUCAGCCUAGGGCCAGCCGCUACCAGCACUCCACUCCGAUGACUGCAGGGAAGUGGUUCAUAUCCAUAAAACCAA
Symphalangus syndactylus (siamang) is the source of this 1052-nucleotide long non-coding RNA. RefSeq lists it as uncharacterized. NCBI's taxonomy places the organism in Eukaryota, Metazoa, Chordata, Mammalia, Primates, Hylobatidae. The record is from RefSeq and is a predicted model, not a curated record.